UUUGACCUCGGAUCAGGUAGGAAUACCCGCUGAACUUAAGCAUAUCAAUAAGCGGAGGAAAAGAAACCAACAGGGAUUGCCCUAGUAACGGCGAGUGAAGCGGCAACAGCUCAAAUUUGAAAUCUGGCCUCGGCCCGAGUUGUAAUUUGCAGAGGAUGCUUCUGGCGCGGUGCCUUCCGAGUUCCCUGGAACGGGACGCCACAGAGGGUGAGAGCCCCGUAUGGUCGGACACCAAGCCUGUGUGAAGCUCCUUCGACGAGUCGAGUAGUUUGGGAAUGCUGCUCUAAAUGGGAGGUAAAUCUCUUCUAAAGCUAAAUACCGGCCAGAGACCGAUAGCGCACAAGUAGAGUGAUCGAAAGAUGAAAAGCACCUUGAAAAGGGGGUUAAAUAGUACGUGAAAUUGUUGAAAGGGAAGCACUUAUGACCAGACUUGGGCCGGGCGGCUCAUCAGGGGUUCUCCCCUGUGCACUCCGCCCGGCACAGGCCAGCAUCGGUUCUCGUGGGGGGAUAAGACCGUCAGGAACGUAGCACUCUCCGGAGUGUGUUAUAGCCUGGCGGACGAUACCCCCGUGGGGACCGAGGUCCGCGCAUUGCAAGGAUGCUGGCGUAAUGGUCAUCAGUGACCCGUCUUGAAACACGGACCAAGGAGUCGUCCAUUAGAGCGAGCGUUUGGGUGUAAAACCCGCACGCGUAAUGAAAGUGAACGCAGGUGAGAGCUUCGGCGCAUCAUCGACCGAUCCUGAUGUUCUCGGAAGGAUUUGAGUAAGAGUUUUAACGGACGGACCCGAAAGACAGUGAACUAUGCUUGAAUAGGGUGAAGCCAGAGGAAACUCUGGUGGAGGCUCGCAGCGGUUCUGACGUGCAAAUCGAUCGUCAAAUUUGAGCAUGGGGGCGAAAGACUAAUCGAACUGUCUAGUAGCUGGUUACCGCCGA
RNAcentral lists this ribosomal RNA (933 nucleotides) under Diaporthe rhusicola. RNAcentral's name for it is "eukaryotic LSU rRNA". It matches the Rfam family "Eukaryotic large subunit ribosomal RNA", at positions 1 to 964 of the family's 3401-position model. The record is from RNAcentral. Lineage: Eukaryota; Fungi; Ascomycota; Sordariomycetes; Diaporthales; Diaporthaceae.